This 337-nucleotide ribosomal RNA is filed under the name uncultured eukaryote. RNAcentral describes it as "bacterial SSU rRNA". It matches the Rfam family "Eukaryotic small subunit ribosomal RNA", at positions 592 to 930 of the family's 1831-position model. The record is from RNAcentral.
CAAUAGCGUAUAUUAAAGUUGUUGCGGUUAAAAGCUCGUAGUUGGAUUUCUGCCGAGGACGACCGGUCCGCCCUCUGGGUGAGUAUCUGGCUCGGCCUGGGCAUCUUCUUGGAGAACGUAUCUGCACUUGACUGUGUGGUGCGGUAUCCAGGACUUUUACUUUGAGGAAAUUAGAGUGUUUCAAGCAGGCAUACGCCUUGAAUACAUUAGCAUGGAAUAAUAAGAUAGGACCUCGGUUCUAUUUUGUUGGUUGUUCGAGAACCGAAGUAAUGAUUGAUAGGGACAGUUGGGGGCAUCGAGUAUUCUGAAGCGAGAGGUGAAAUUGCUUGGAAUUUAC